Molecule: long non-coding RNA, 378 nt
Filed under: Phoenix dactylifera (date palm)
Lineage: Eukaryota; Viridiplantae; Streptophyta; Magnoliopsida; Arecales; Arecaceae
Description: long non-coding RNA (PDAC_LNC020380)
Source: RNAcentral
CCUCCUACGGGGAUAAUCUUGAGGAUUCUUAUUUUUGGGAUAUUACAAAAAAAAAGUUUCGGGCGGUAAGCAAAAAAAAAAAAAAGACUCCCUUGCCUUGAAAAUGGCUGUUCCUAUCUCUCUCCUUCCUUUCUUCGCUUCUGGAUGGUUUCAGGAUCACCUACUGAUUGAUUUCGAGCUGAUCCAGGGGCUAGCUCGGCUACUGAUAGACAAAAAAACAGGAAAGAUUUUUCGGUGGAGCCAAUCAUCACAAAGAUUUAGGAGUUGGUCUUGAUGCUGAGUUGCAUGAUUUUGGGUUCACUUUGGCCCUCGUGGAAAGGACAUAUGUGAACGAGACGAAUAGACUCGUUUGGAGGACUAAAGCAAACUUCAUCUUUU